AGAGGGUGCGAGCGUUAAUCGGAAUUACUGGGCGUAAAGGGCGCGUAGGUUGUUUUUAAGUGUUAUGUAAAAUCGAUGGGCUUAACCUGUCGUUGUGAUAGCAAACUGGAUAACUAGCGUACAGGAGAGGGGAGUGGAAUUUCCGGUGUAGCGGUGAAAUGCGUAGAUAUCGGAAGGAACACCAGUGGCGAAGGCGACUUCCUGGCCUGCUACAGACACUGAGGCGCGAAAGCGUGGGUAGCGAACAGGAUUAGAUACCCUGGUAGUCCACGCUGUAAACGAUGAAUACUAGCCCGUUGGUUUCUUAAAGGGAUUAGUGGCGCAGCAAACGCGAUAAGUAUUCCGCCUGGGGAGUACGGCCGCAAGGUUA
This 370-nucleotide ribosomal RNA is filed under the name uncultured organism. RNAcentral describes it as "partial 16S ribosomal RNA". It matches the Rfam family "Bacterial small subunit ribosomal RNA", at positions 527 to 896 of the family's 1533-position model. The record is from RNAcentral.